ACUCCUGCGUGGUGCGAGUGGGAACGCGCGCGCGCGCGCCUGGGACUGUGGUGAGGAUGAAAUCAGGGAAAUCAGUCACAGCAGUGCUCUCCUGGCACAGGCAGGAGAAUCGCUUGAACCCAGGAGGCAGAGGUUGCAGUGAGCCGAGAUCACACCACUGCACUCCAGCCUGUAAUGUCUUACAAUAACAGAAUGCAGGAGAGCACAUAUCAAUGAAGAAAAGACAAAAUGUACUUAUCCAUGAAGCUGAGGUUAAGAAACCAGUGUCUUCAAGAGCCAGGGACAGCACUGGGUCUGUGCAGAGUUGAGAGAUGGUGAUGACAUGUGGUUUCCAGCAUUCCUCGCCCAGUCCAGGGACACUGUGGGUGUGCCCAGCUUAAGUCCAGUCCAGUAACUGGAAAUACAAGCCCAAGUUCUGGAGAGUUUGAGCUGCAG
This 435-nucleotide non-coding RNA is filed under the name Pan troglodytes (chimpanzee). The record is from RNAcentral. Lineage: Eukaryota; Metazoa; Chordata; Mammalia; Primates; Hominidae.